RNAcentral lists this ribosomal RNA (468 nucleotides) under uncultured bacterium. RNAcentral describes it as "partial 16S ribosomal RNA". It matches the Rfam family "Bacterial small subunit ribosomal RNA", at positions 28 to 507 of the family's 1533-position model. The record is from RNAcentral.
GACGAACGCUGGCGGCGUGCUUAACACAUGCCAGUCGAACGGAAAGGCCCUGCUUUUGUGGGGUGCUCGAGUGGCGAACGGGUGAGUAACACGUGAGUAACCUGCCCUUGACUUUGGGAUAACUUCAGGAAACUGGGGCUAAUACCGGAUAGGAGCUCCUGCUGCAUGGUGGGGGUUGGAAAGUUUCGGCGGUUGGGGAUGGACUCGCGGCUUAUCAGCUUGUUGGUGGGGUAGUGGCUUACCAAGGCUUUGACGGGUAGCCGGCCUGAGAGGGUGACCGGGCACAUUGGGACUAAGGGACGGCCCAGAAUCCUACGGGAGGCAGUAGUGGGGAAUAUUGCAGAAUGGGCGGAAGCCUGAUGCAGCAAUGCCGGGUGCGGGAUGACGGCCUUCGGGUUGUAAACCGCUUUCGCCUGUGACGUAGCGUUAGUGACGGUAAUGGGUAAAGAAGCACCGGCUAACUACGUG